AUUGAACGCUGGCGGCAGGCCUAACACAUGCAAGUCGAGCGGAUGAAGGGAGCUUGCUCCUGGAUUCAGCGGCGGACGGGUGAGUAAUGCCUAGGAAUCUGCCUGGUAGUGGGGGAUAACGUCCGGAAACGGGCGCUAAUACCGCAUACGUCCUGAGGGAGAAAGUGGGGGGUCUUCGGACCUCACGCUCUCAGAUGAGCCUAGGUCGGAUUAGCUAGUUGGUGGGGUUAGGGGCUACCAAGGGGACGAUCCGUAACUGGUCUGAGUGGAGGAUCGGUCACCUGGGAAGUUGAACACCGACCUGGGUCCUAAGGGAGGGCGCAGUUGGGUAUGGUGGGCAACGGGGGGAAGCCUUGUCCAGUCAGGGCGCGUGUGAUGAAGAAGUCCUGCGAGUGGAAAGCCGGUUUAGGUGGGAGGAAGGGCAGUAAGUUAAUACCUUGCUGUUUUGACGGUACCAACAGAAUAAGCACCGGCUAACUUCGUG
This 484-nucleotide ribosomal RNA is filed under the name uncultured bacterium. Its description in RNAcentral is "partial 16S ribosomal RNA". It matches the Rfam family "Bacterial small subunit ribosomal RNA", at positions 30 to 507 of the family's 1533-position model. The record is from RNAcentral.